AAUUCUCAACCCAUUCAGCUUUUGUUAGUUGAAUGUGGCUUGGAUUGUGGAGGUUGUGCGGGCUUUUUACAAGUCGGCUCCUCUUAAAUGCAUUAGCGGAAAACCCUUGUGGACCGUCUUUGGUGUGAUAAUUAUCUACGCCAUCGCCGUGAAGCAGCUAUACAAUGGGGCUUCAGCUUCAAACCGUCCUUUUAGAGGACAACACUUAAUUGACA
RNAcentral lists this unclassified non-coding RNA (215 nucleotides) under Cuphophyllus virgineus. RNAcentral describes it as "partial internal transcribed spacer 2". Lineage: Eukaryota; Fungi; Basidiomycota; Agaricomycetes; Agaricales; Hygrophoraceae. The record is from RNAcentral.